This 66-nucleotide transfer RNA is filed under the name Enoplolambrus validus. Its description in RNAcentral is "tRNA-Leu". Lineage: Eukaryota; Metazoa; Arthropoda; Malacostraca; Decapoda; Parthenopidae. The record is from RNAcentral.
UCUAAAAUGACAGAAAGAUGUGUAAGACUUAAAAUCUUAUUAGGAAAAUUAAUUUUUCUUUUAGAA